GAAGAAAAAUGUGCAAUGAUAUGAUGAUCAAGAAACAGUGGAUGUCUACAUCCUUCCCUGACUACUGCAUCAGAAUUAAACAUAAACAUUUCCCUGCUUGCUAUUCAUUGCUGAUGGCAGUUAGCAGUACCUCUGGAUCAAGUCAGAAUAUGAGGACAAGAACUGUGACACUUGACAGCAGAGAUACUGACUAAACAACCAACCUGAUUGUGGAUCUUCAUUGUUACCUUACCACAGUGACUUAGGUGAAAGACAGCCACCAGAGACAGCUCUGGAGAAGAUGUGGGCCAAAUGUAGACUUUCUGAGAAGUUUAAACUCAGGCUGGGAAGGACACAGGGCCCAGCGCUCUGUAAUAAGAAGCCAAGCCUGUUGCUGAAAAAGUCAUGAAAGAGUAGAGGAAGAAAGAGGAAGAAAAUACUAUGGACUUAGAGAAGAAUUCAGAGGAAAAGUAAAGAUAGACACAGAAAAAGAAAGCCAGAGACUCAGGAGAUUGGAGGCUUCAUCUGUAUUCAUCAUGGUGUGACAUAAACCAGAGGAGCCACACCUUAAGACAGAAGAGCUCCAGUCUUCACCUUCACUUUGGACAUCAUCUCCCGGCUUCAGGCAGAUUCUUCAGCUUCCAUUGCAGCUCCAACACCCUCCUGAUAUGGACUCCCAUGAGACACUGCAGUGAGCUCCAGACCUUUGACUGGAAGCUUCAGACUCUAGUGUACAAACAAACCCUCUGCACUCUUCCACAUAUGACUCUGUGGUAGGCCACUGUAAGCCAAUCUUGUAAAUUCUUAUAUACUUGUGUAUCUUAUAUCUGUUUCUGUAAUAAACACUGACUGAUACAGAAAGUUCUUGCCUAUGUGUAUGUCUUCUAGUGUUUUAUUUAUUUUAUCUUGUAGCACAUUAAGUGUAUCUGUUUUUAAUAUUUAGAUCUUUGAUCCAUUUGAUUUUGGUUCAGUACAUGGACCUCAAUUCAAUCUUCUGCAUGAGGAUAGC
Heterocephalus glaber (naked mole-rat) is the source of this 988-nucleotide long non-coding RNA. The record is from Ensembl. Lineage: Eukaryota; Metazoa; Chordata; Mammalia; Rodentia; Bathyergidae.